Molecule: ribosomal RNA, 471 nt
Filed under: uncultured bacterium
Lineage: Bacteria
Description: bacterial SSU rRNA
Rfam family: Bacterial small subunit ribosomal RNA
Source: RNAcentral
UGGGGAAUUGUUCGCAAUGGGCGCAAGCCUGACGACGCAACGCCGCGUGGAGGAUGAAGGUCUUCGGAUCGUAAACUCCUGUUGCCCGGGACGAAUAGCUUCGACCUAACACGUCGGAGUAUGACGGUACCGGGUGAGGAAGCCCCGGCUAACUCUGUGCCAGCAGCCGCGGUAAUACAGAGGGGGCAAGCGUUGUUCGGAAUUACUGGGCGUAAAGGGCGCGUAGGCGGCCUGUUAAGUCGAACGUGAAAUCCCUGGGCUCAACCCAGGAACUGCGUCCGAUACUGGCUGGCUUGAAUCCGGGAGAGGGAUGCGGAAUUCCAGGUGUAGCGGUGAAAUGCGUAGAUAUCUGGAGGAACACCGGUGGCGAAGGCGGCAUCCUGGACCGGUAUUGACGCUGAGGCGCGAAAGCCAGGGGAGCAAACGGGAUUAGAUACCCACGUAGUCCCUGAGCGGGCUGGCAAGGCGCAU